Molecule: ribosomal RNA, 434 nt
Filed under: uncultured Fibrobacter sp.
Lineage: Bacteria; Pseudomonadati; Fibrobacterota; Fibrobacteria; Fibrobacterales; Fibrobacteraceae
Description: partial 16S ribosomal RNA
Rfam family: Bacterial small subunit ribosomal RNA
Source: RNAcentral
ACGGGAGGCAGCAGUGGGGAAUAUUGCACAAUGGGGGAAUCCCUGAUGCAGCGACGCCGCGUGAGCGAAGAAGUAUUUCGGUAUGUAAAGCUCUAUCAGCAGGGAAGAAAAUGACGGUACCUGACUAAGAAGCCCCGGCUAACUACGUGCCAGCAGCCGCGGUAAUACGUAGGGGGCAAGCGUUGUUCGGAAUCACUGGGCGUAAAGGGAGCGCAGGCGGAGAUGCAAGCGGACUGUACAAUACCGGGGCCCAACCCCGGACCUGCAGUCCGGACUGCACCUCUUGGAUAGUUCAGGGGCAAGCGGAAUUCCUGGUGUAGCGGUGGAAUGCGUAGAGAUCAGGAAGAACACCGAUGGCGAAGGCAGCUUGCUGGGGACUUAUCGACGCUCAUGCUCGAAAGUGCGGGUAGCAAACAGGAUUAGAUACCCUGGUA